CCUACGGGUGUCAGCAGUGGGGAAUAUUGCACCAUGGGCGAAAGCCUGAUGCAGCAACGCCGCGUGAAGGAAGAAGGGUUUCGGCUCGUAAACUUCUAUCAACAGGGACGAAAGACAUGACGGUACCUGAAUAAGACGCCCCGGCUAACUACAUGCCAGCAGCCGCGGUAAUACGUAGGGGGCAAGCGUUAUCCGGACUUAAUGGGUGUAAAGGGUGAGUAGGCGGCAUGGUAAGCCAGAUGUGAAAGCCUUGGGCUUAAACCGAGGAUUGCAUCUGAAACUAUCAAGCUAGAGGACAGGAGAGGAAAGCGGAAUGCGUAGGGUAGCGGUGAAAUGCGUAGAUAUGAGGAAGAACACCAGUGGCGAAGGCGGCUUGCUGGACUGAAACUGACGCUGAGGCACGAAAGCGUGGGGAGCGAACAGGAUUAGAUACCCCAGUAGUC
RNAcentral lists this ribosomal RNA (443 nucleotides) under uncultured bacterium. Its description in RNAcentral is "partial 16S ribosomal RNA". It matches the Rfam family "Bacterial small subunit ribosomal RNA", at positions 338 to 795 of the family's 1533-position model. The record is from RNAcentral.